Long non-coding RNA from Cottoperca gobio, 2888 nucleotides. NCBI's taxonomy places the organism in Eukaryota, Metazoa, Chordata, Actinopteri, Perciformes, Bovichtidae. The record is from Ensembl.
GUCAUGAGAGACUGGAAGGGGCCUGUAUGGUAUGUAAGCCACCUGGUGGCGCCAAACCCACAUUCUGUUAUGACUCCAGUGCGGCUGGUGUGGAACAGCAGCCAGAAGUUCAAAGGACUGAGUAGGAAUGAUAUUCUGCUUAAAGGACCAGAUGUUCUUAACCCGAUCAGAGCUGUUCUACUGAGGUUCAGGAGAGGGGUGUUGGCAGCCCUCGGGGACAUCAAGAAGAUGUAUAACUCUGUGUGGUUGGAGGAACGUGAAAUGCACCUACACCGAUUUCUUUGGAGGGAUAAGCCUGAGGAAAUAAUAAGAGUGUAUGCUAUCACACGAGUUAACAUCGGGGACAGACCAGCUGGGUGCAUCGCACAGCUGGCUAUGCGCGAGACUGCAAGGCUGUCCAUCUUUGCUCAACAGAGAGAAGAACGCAGAGUCCUUGAAGAGGAUAGUUAUGUGGACGACAUCCUAACUUCACAUAACAGUCUGGAGAAAUUGGACAAAAUUACAGCAGGAGUGGAGGAGAUUCUGAGAGCUGGAGGCUUCUUUCUGAAACCAUGGGUCCGGUCAGGUCAAAGUGGGAGGCAGAAAACAGCAGGUGAGGCAGUGGGAUGGAGUAAGACCAUUAUUCUGCCAAAUCAGAUGAGGGAUGAAGACAACAAAGCCCUGGGAGUUGGAUAUCAAGUGGAGGAGGACAAACUGUACAUGUUGACCUCAGUCAACUUUUCAAAAAGGAAAAAGAAGAUGAGGAUGGGAAAGGAUCUUCAUAAGGAGGAAGUGAGACCUGGAACACCUGACCCACUAACUAGAAGGGAGCUGCUAAGCCAGGUAGCUGGACUCUAUGACCCGAUCGGCUUAGUGACACCUGCCAAACAGAAGGGGGCGAUCCUUGUAAGGAAGGCAUUCCAGGAAGCAGGGGGUGGAAAGCUAACUCGAGAGACCUGGGAUAAACCACUUUCAGAAGGCCUCAGAGGAGAAGCUAUUAAGCUGUUUGAAGGAUACGUUGAGCUGGGACAAAUUAAAUUCCACCGAAGCCUUACACCAGCUGACUGGAAAGGGAAGCCAUGGGGAAUCACCUUCUCAGAUGGGAGCGACAAAACCUAUGGAGCUGUAAUGUAUUUGAGGUGGAAGACAAGGCAAGGAAUUGAUGUCCGUUUCGUUGAAUCUAAAGCCAAGCUGACGCCACUAGAUCAGAAAGGGGAUGCAGUCAAAGCUGAGAUGUGUGGCGCAGUCUUUGCAUCGAGGCUCAAGAAAUACUUUGAGAAGCAUGGUGGAAUGGAGAUAGAGCGGUGGAUUCAUCUGGUAGACAGUCAAACAGUCCUCGGAGCCAUUCAAAGAGACAGCUAUGGCUACCAAACCUUUUUUGCAAACCGUGUUGGUGAGAUCCAGAAAUCUGGGCCAGUUGAAGACUGGUGGUGGAUCCCUGGAGAACUUAAUGUGGCUGACAUCAUGACGAGAGGGGGUGCUCCUGAAGAAAUAAAGGAGAAUUCCACAUGGCAAAAUGGACCAGAGUUCCUAAAGUGGCCAGUGGAGGAGUGGCACAUAAAGUCAGCUGGAGAGGUUACUGCUCACAGUAGGGAAAGUGUGAACAAGCUUCAGAGAAAGGCCUUCACAACAGCAGUAACCAGAGCCCAGACAAAAAUAGAAGUAGAGGAUCUGCUGACCUCGCAGACAAGGUUGAAAGAGGGGAUUCAGGAGGAAGUGGGCCCACCUACUGUUGCAGGAAGGGCACCUGUCGGCUGGGGGAUCAAGAAUCUCGUGAAGGUGGAGAGAUACAGUAGCUUGUCCAGGCUGGUCAACAUCGUUGCCUGGGUGCGGCGAGCUGCUAAAAGGUGGCUUGAGAUAAAGGCAAAAGGCAGAGGACAAACAAAGGCCAAGAAAACUGUCUUGACUGUGCAGGAGCGCGAAGAUGCACUCAGAGACCUGUUUCAUGCUGCACAGGAGGCUGUAACUUUUCCACAAACUGCAUUGAACCGACUGGCAGUGUAUAGAGAGGAAAGCUCUGGACUCUUAGUCUGUGGAGGCAGGAUUCAGAUGUUCAUUGAAAGCAAAACCGCUGUGCCAAUUAUACCACACGAAGCAUGGUUGUCCACACUGUUGGCACAAGAAGCCCACAAAGCGAACCAUGAAGGUGUAGCAGGAACCCUUCUCAGGAUGAGGAAAAGAGCCUGGGUGGUAAAAGGUCGAAGAAUCGCCAAGAAAGUGGUGGACAGCUGUGUGGCCUGCAGGAAAGCUACAGCGAGGAAAUGUCGACAGAUCAUGAGUGACCUUCCACCUGAGAGAACAAGCCUGGCCAAACCAUUUGAAUACACAACCAUGGACUUAUUCGGGCCUUACAAGGUAAAAGAUGAAGUAAGGAAGAGAGUCAAACUCAAAGUCUGGGGGAUUGUAUUCUGUUGUAUGGCUUCCAGAGCCAUACACACCGAUGUUGUCAGCGACCAAUCAUCCGAAGGGUUUCUUCUUGCCUAUCAGAGGUUUGCUGCCCUCAGGGGACACCCCAGGAAAUUGUGGUCAGACCCUGGUACAAAUUUUGUGGGGGCAAAACCUGCACUUGAAGAGCUUCACGGAUUUAUGAGAAAUUUAAACAAGACGGAGAUUGAAAGAGAGGCUUCCAAAUGCGGAACAGACUGGUCUUGGAAGAUCCAUCCUGCAGACUCUCCCCACAGGAAUGGAGCAGCAGAGGUGGCAGUCCGAUUGGUAAAGCGGGCUUUAAGCAACCUUGGUGGUGAUGGAGGUUUCUCAUGGGGUGAAUUCCAGACAUUCCUCUUCAUGGCAGCAAACCUGGUUAAUGAAAGGCCCAUAGACGCGAGAGUGCAGAGCCGGGAGGACUGUGUGGAGUACAUCAGUCCCAAUUCUCUUCUGUUAGGACGGGAGUGCUCUCGAGGAGACCCAGG